Populus trichocarpa (black cottonwood) is the source of this 156-nucleotide non-coding RNA. The record is from Rfam. Lineage: Eukaryota; Viridiplantae; Streptophyta; Magnoliopsida; Malpighiales; Salicaceae.
UCUAGAACUCGAGAUAUGGGCUGAACACUGAACAAUGUCUGGGUUGCAGGACAGAUUCUGACUUCUCCGUUGUUGCUAAGAUUUAGACUUCCAAAUAGUAGAAUUGAGUCUUUCACUCCUCAUGAAUGUUUUAGACCUAUAUCUUAGCUUUCUAGU